Molecule: microRNA, 22 nt
Filed under: Gallus gallus (chicken)
Lineage: Eukaryota; Metazoa; Chordata; Aves; Galliformes; Phasianidae
Description: gga-miR-1c
Gene: gga-miR-1c
Source: miRBase by way of RNAcentral
UGGAAUGGAAAGCAGUAUGUAU